UGGGGAAUAUUGGACAAUGGGCGCAAGCCUGAUCCAGCAAUGCCGCGUGAGUGAUGAAGGCCUUAGGGUUGUAAAGCUCUUUCGCACGCGACGAUGAUGACGGUAGCGUGAGAAGAAGCCCCGGCUAACUUCGUGCCAGCAGCCGCGGUAAUACGAAGGGGGCUAGCGUUGUUCGGAAUUACUGGGCGUAAAGGGCGCGUAGGUGGCCUGUUUAGUCAGAAGUGAAAGCCCCGGGCUCAACCUGGGAAUAGCUUUUGAUACUGGCAGGCUUGAGUUCCGGAGAGGAUGGUGGAAUUCCCAGUGUAGAGGUGAAAUUCGUAGAUAUUGGGAAGAACACCGGUGGCGAAGGCGGCCAUCUGGACGGACACUGACGCUGAGGCGCGAAAGCGUGGGGAGCAAACAGAUUAGAUACCCUGGUAGUCCACGCCGUAAAACGAUGAAUGCUAGACGUCGGGGUGCAUGCACUUCGGUGUCGCCGCUAACGCAUUAAGCAUCCCGCCUGGGGAGUACGGCCGCAAGGUUAAAACUUAAAUGAAUUGACGGGGUCAUAGCUGUUUCCU
This 560-nucleotide ribosomal RNA is filed under the name uncultured bacterium. RNAcentral describes it as "partial 16S ribosomal RNA". It matches the Rfam family "Bacterial small subunit ribosomal RNA", at positions 355 to 1375 of the family's 1533-position model. The record is from RNAcentral.